AUUGAACGCUGGCGGCAUGCCUUACACAUGCAAGUCGAACGGCAGCGCGGGGCAACCUGGCGGCGAGUGGCGAACGGGUGAGUAAUAUAUCGGAACGUGCCCUGGAGUGGGGGAGUAACUAGUCGAAAGACUAGCUAAUACCGCAUACGAUCUAAGGAUGAAAGUAGGGGGAGUCGCAAGACCUCAUGCUCGUGGAGCGGCCGAUAUCUGAUUAGCUAGNGGUAGGGUAAAGCCUACCAAGGCGACGAUCAGUAGCUGGUCUGAGAGGACGACCAGCCACACUGGGACUGAGACACGGCCCAGACUCCUACGGAGGCAGCAGUGGGGAAUUUUGGACAAUGGGCGCAAGCCUGAUCCAGCAAUGCCGCGUGAGUGAAGAAGGCCUU
RNAcentral lists this ribosomal RNA (386 nucleotides) under uncultured bacterium. RNAcentral describes it as "bacterial SSU rRNA". It matches the Rfam family "Bacterial small subunit ribosomal RNA", at positions 29 to 418 of the family's 1533-position model. The record is from RNAcentral.